RNAcentral lists this long non-coding RNA (1350 nucleotides) under Nicotiana tabacum (common tobacco). RNAcentral's name for it is "long non-coding RNA (NTAB_LNC014222)". Lineage: Eukaryota; Viridiplantae; Streptophyta; Magnoliopsida; Solanales; Solanaceae. The record is from RNAcentral.
ACCAAAAGAGACACAAACAUUUAACGUGGUUUAGUCCAAACAAACUGUUACUUUAUUAUUUGCAAACUCGUGCACUUCACUUAUUUCAUUAUUACACAGGGUACGAAAGUAAAGGAUACAACAAAUUAAAAGGCGAUAGCAAGCCUAUCGUCAAUUAAAGAGGUCUGAUUGUAUAUAGUGGUUGAACAUAGUCUAUAUACACAUGGGAUAAUAUGGCGAGUUUUGUGCGCAAACACAACAAAUCCAACAAUCACUACAAUCAGCGCUGGUAGUACAAGCUCUAGUACAAGUUUUAAGAUCAUUAGCUUGUGGAAGUAGUCUCCUCUGGACUGUAGCGAGAUCAUGAUCAACAUUUGGUGUAGCCAUCACCGAUGUCCUUUCGAGCCACGAAAUAUUCGCUGAAAUAUUAACCAUGAUAAUAAUUAUUAAUGUCAAAAGCAGUCUGAUUUGACAAAAAAUCACACGUCAAAUUGUUAGGACCGAAAAAAUCAGAUGUCAUGCGAAAUCUGUCAAUUGACCUACGUCCACGGCGGAGAUGAACAAUCCACCAUAUAAAAGAGAGUACAAAAUAUUGAAAGAACAACCUUACGAAGAUGCAAACACAAGUGACAGACUAACACUUGUACCGUAAAGUUCUCCCCCUAAACAUGACUUUUAAACGUAACCUCAUAUGACUAUAUUGUGGAUGCUAAUGAAUCGGAAGGAAGGAUCCUCAAUUUAUAAAAGUCCAAACAUUUUUCCUACAAGAAAAAGGACUAGCCAAAUAUGGAAGAUUUAUAAUUUUCUUUUACGGAAAGGAAAACCAAAUUAUGAUAAAUAUGGUGUCCUUUCUUCAAAGGCGGAUGCAUGAAUUAAAUUUCAUGAAUUCAACUUUUAAGAGUUUUAGCAUUGAACCCAAUAUAUUCUUAAACUUAUGGGUUUAUAUCUACUCUUUUUGCAAUUUUACUGAAUUUUUACAUAUAUUUUUUAUUCCACGUCGAAAGUUAUGGGUUCAAUUGAACUCGUUGAUAACACGCUACAUCCGCCCCUGCCUUUUCUUCAAGAGAUAGGAAAAUCAAAUAUGAUAAAAAUAUCAGGAUAAAUGCCUAACACAAAUGUCAUUCAUAUGGAUAUAUCAUUAUCAAAGCAUGCAUAUGAAAUACUAUGAGAUAAUCACAUACAAAGUAAAUAUAAUUAGAUAGAAUUAUAAUAUAGAGAUAAAGAUAUAUGAAUACCAGCUGCUGAUAUGAGAAGAAUAGUAAGGAUGAAGCCAAGCUUAUGUACCAUCAUGUUAGCCAUUAGUACUUCACGCUUUUUUGUGUGCGCAUCUCAUUGCUCUUCAAAUAUCGUAAUUUAUAGACCUUCUUGAAG